RNAcentral lists this ribosomal RNA (999 nucleotides) under uncultured Sulfurospirillum sp. RNAcentral describes it as "bacterial SSU rRNA". It matches the Rfam family "Bacterial small subunit ribosomal RNA", at positions 382 to 1398 of the family's 1533-position model. The record is from RNAcentral. Lineage: Bacteria; Pseudomonadati; Campylobacterota; Epsilonproteobacteria; Campylobacterales; Sulfurospirillaceae.
UCUGAUGCAGCACGCCGCGUGGAGGAUGACGCAUUUCGGUGUGUAAACUCCUUUUAUAAGGGAAGAUAAUGACGGUACCUUAUGAAUAAGCACCGGCUAACUCCGUGCCAGCAGCCGCGGUAAUACGGAGGGUGCAAGCGUUACUCGGAAUCACUGGGCGUAAAGGAUGCGUAGGCUGGAAAUCAAGUCGAGAGUGAAAUCCAACGGCUCAACCGUUGAACUGCUCUCGAAACUGGUUACCUAGAAUAUGGGAGAGGUAGAUGGAAUUGGUGGUGUAGGGGUAAAAUCCGUAGAUAUCACCAGGAAUACCGAUUGCGAAGGCGAUCUACUGGAACAUUAUUGACGCUGAGGCAUGAAAGCGUGGGGAGCAAACAGGAUUAGAUACCCUGGUAGUCCACGCCCUAAACGAUGCACACUAGUUGUUGCGAUGCUAGUCAUUGCAGUAAUGCACUUAACAGAUUAAGUGUGCCGCCUGGGGAGUACGGUCGCAAGAUUAAAACUCAAAGGAAUAGACGGGGACCCGCACAAGCGGUGGAGCAUGUGGUUUAAUUCGAAGAUACACGAAGAACCUUACCUGGCCUUGAUAUCCUAAGAAUCCUUUAGAGAUAAGGGAGUGCUAGUUUACUAGAACUUAGAGACAGGUGCUGCACGGCUGUCGUCAGCUCGUGUCGUGAGAUGUUGGGUUAAGUCCCGCAACGAGCGCAACCCUCGUGAUUAGUUGCUAACAGUUCGGCUGAGCACUCUAAUCAGACUGCCUUCGCAAGGAGGAGGAAGGUGAGGACGACGUCAGUCAUCAUGGCCCUUAUGGCCAGGGCUACACACGUGCUACAAUGGCUAGGACAAAGAGACGCGAUACUGCGAAGUGGAGCAAAUCUUAAAACCUAGUCUCAGUUCGGAUUGGAGUCUGCAACUCGACUCCAUGAAGCUGGAAUCGCUAGUAAUCGUAGAUCAGAUAUGCUACGGUGAAUACGUUCCCGGGUCUUGUACUCACCGCCCGUC